GGUUAAGCGACUAAGCGUACACGGUGGAUGCCCUGGCAGUCAGAGGCGAUGAAGGGCGUGCUAAUCUGCGAUAAGCGCCGGUAAGGUGAUAUGAACCGUUAUAACCGGCGAUACCCGAAUGGGGAAACCCAGUGUGACUCGUCACACUAUCAUUAACUGAAUCCAUAGGUUAAUGAGGCGAACCGGGGGAACUGAAACAUCUAAGUACCCCGAGGAAAAGAAAUCAACCGAGAUUCCCCCAGUAGCGGCGAGCGAACGGGGAGGAGCCCAGAGCCUGAAUCAGCAUGUGUGUUAGUGGAAGCGUCUGGAAAGGCGCGCGAUACAGGGUGACAGCCCCGUACACAAAAGCGCAUGUGCUGUGAGCUCGAUGAGUAGGGCGGGACACGUGGUAUCCUGUCUGAAUAUGGGGGGACCAUCCUCCAAGGCUAAAUACUCCUGACUGACCGAUAGUGAACCAGUACCGUGAGGGAAAGGCGAAAAGAACCCCGGCGAGGGGAGUGAAAAAGAACCUGAAACCGUGUACGUACAAGCAGUGGGAGCACCCUUUGGGGUGUGACUGCGUACCUUUUGUAUAAUGGGUCAGCGACUUAUAUUCUGUAGCAAGGUUAACCGCAUAGGGGAGCCGGAGGGAAACCGAGUCUUAAUUGGGCGUUAAGUUGCAGGGUAUAGACCCGAAACCCGGUGAUCUAGCCAUGGGCAGGUUGAAGGUUGGGUAACACUAACUGGAGGACCGAACCGACUAAUGUUGAAAAAUUAGCGGAUGACCUGUGGCUGGGGGUGAAAGGCCAAUCAAACCGGGAGAUAGCUGGUUCUCCCCGAAAGCUAUUUAGGUAGCGCCUCGUGAAUUCAUCUCCGGGGGUAGAGCACUGUUUCGGCUAGGGGGCCAUCCCGGCUUACCAACCCGAUGCAAACUGCGAAUACCGGAGAAUGUUAUCACGGGAGACACACGGCGGGUGCUAACGUCCGUCGUGAAGAGGGAAACAACCCAGACCGCCAGCUAAGGUCCCAAAGUCAUGGUUAAGUGGGAAACGAUGUGGGAAGGCCCAGACAGCCAGGAUGUUGGCUUAGAAGCAGCCAUCAUUUAAAGAAAGCGUAAUAGCUCACUGGUCGAGUCGGCCUGCGCGGAAGAUGUAACGGGGCUAAACCAUGCACCGAAGCUGCGGCAGCGACACUGUGUGUUGUUGGGUAGGGGAGCGUUCUGUAAGCCUGUGAAGGUGGCCUGUGAGGGUUGCUGGAGGUAUCAGAAGUGCGAAUGCUGACAUAAGUAACGAUAAAGCGGGUGAAAAGCCCGCUCGCCGGAAGACCAAGGGUUCCUGUCCAACGUUAAUCGGGGCAGGGUGAGUCGACCCCUAAGGCGAGGCCGAAAGGCGUAGUCGAUGGGAAACGGGUUAAUAUUCCCGUACUUGGUGUUACUGCGAAGGGGGGACGGAGAAGGCUAUGUUGGCCGGGCGACGGUUGUCCCGGUUUAAGCGUGUAGGUGUGUGUUCCAGGUAAAUCCGGUUCACUUUAACACUGAGGCGUGAUGACGAGGCACUACGGUGCUGAAGCAACAAAUGCCCUGCUUCCAGGAAAAGCCUCUAAGCAUCAGGUAACAUCAAAUCGUACCCCAAACCGACACAGGUGGUCAGGUAGAGAAUACCAAGGCGCUUGAGAGAACUCGGGUGAAGGAACUAGGCAAAAUGGUGCCGUAACUUCGGGAGAAGGCACGCUGACACGUAGGUGAAGUGAUUUACUCACGGAGCUGAAGUCAGUCGAAGAUACCAGCUGGCUGCAACUGUUUAUUAAAAACACAGCACUGUGCAAACACGAAAGUGGACGUAUACGGUGUGACGCCUGCCCGGUGCCGGAAGGUUAAUUGAUGGGGUCAGCGCAAGCGAAGCUCCUGAUCGAAGCCCCGGUAAACGGCGGCCGUAACUAUAACGGUCCUAAGGUAGCGAAAUUCCUUGUCGGGUAAGUUCCGACCUGCACGAAUGGCGUAAUGAUGGCCAGGCUGUCUCCACCCGAGACUCAGUGAAAUUGAACUCGCUGUGAAGAUGCAGUGUACCCGCGGCAAGACGGAAAGACCCCGUGAACCUUUACUAUAGCUUGACACUGAACAUUGAGCCUUGAUGUGUAGGAUAGGUGGGAGGCUUUGAAGUGUGGACGCCAGUCUGCAUGGAGCCGACCUUGAAAUACCACCCUUUAAUGUUUGAUGUUCUAACGUGGACCCGUAAUCCGGGUUGCGGACAGUGUCUGGUGGGUAGUUUGACUGGGGCGGUCUCCUCCUAAAGAGUAACGGAGGAGCACGAAGGUUGGCUAAUCCUGGUCGGACAUCAGGAGGUUAGUGCAAUGGCAUAAGCCAGCUUGACUGCGAGCGUGACGGCGCGAGCAGGUGCGAAAGCAGGUCAUAGUGAUCCGGUGGUUCUGAAUGGAAGGGCCAUCGCUCAACGGAUAAAAGGUACUCCGGGGAUAACAGGCUGAUACCGCCCAAGAGUUCAUAUCGACGGCGGUGUUUGGCACCUCGAUGUCGGCUCAUCACAUCCUGGGGCUGAAGUAGGUCCCAAGGGUAUGGCUGUUCGCCAUUUAAAGUGGUACGCGAGCUGGGUUUAGAACGUCGUGAGACAGUUCGGUCCCUAUCUGCCGUGGGCGCUGGAGAACUGAGGGGGGCUGCUCCUAGUACGAGAGGACCGGAGUGGACGCAUCACUGGUGUUCGGGUUGUCAUGCCAAUGGCACUGCCCGGUAGCUAAAUGCGGAAGAGAUAAGUGCUGAAAGCAUCUAAGCACGAAACUUGCCCCGAGAUGAGUUCUCCCUGAGACUUAGAGUCUCCUGAAGGAACGUUGAAGACGACGACGUUGAUAGGCCGGGUGUGUAAGCGCAGCGAUGCGUUGAGCUAACCGGUACUAAUGAACCGUGAGGCUUAACCUU
RNAcentral lists this ribosomal RNA (2905 nucleotides) under Salmonella enterica subsp. enterica serovar Goldcoast. RNAcentral's name for it is "23S ribosomal RNA". It matches the Rfam family "Bacterial large subunit ribosomal RNA". Lineage: Bacteria; Pseudomonadati; Pseudomonadota; Gammaproteobacteria; Enterobacterales; Enterobacteriaceae. The record is from RNAcentral.